Mya arenaria is the source of this 710-nucleotide long non-coding RNA. RefSeq lists it as uncharacterized. The record is from RefSeq and is a predicted model, not a curated record. The transcript has 4 exons. NCBI's taxonomy places the organism in Eukaryota, Metazoa, Mollusca, Bivalvia, Myida, Myidae.
GGAUGUAGAAGAUUAUAGUGAAGAUGUUUACGAAUAUGAAGCAGACUAUUGUUACAUUGACAAUCCCAUGGUGCAAGGCUGCGCUAUGGACUUUGCACCUCAAAUGGAUGUAGAAGGUGAUGGUGUAGAGGUUUACGACGUAAGUUAACAUGUUUAGCUUCCUAUAAAAAUGUGUUUAUUUGCUAAAUUUUAGCAAACAAUUGCUAAGGGCAACUAAGUGCAUACUAGAUUGUAUAUUAAAAGUCAAGUAAUUCUGUCAAGAAAAAUUAAUUACUCCAGUUUUAUAUGCAGUUAAAAAAGUCAUUGACAUGUAGGUGUUUAUGUAAAAAAUCCAAUUUCCCUCAUCUAAAAUUAUAAUUUGCAACAGUAUUACACAGUAUAGAUGUUAAAUGAAUUUAAAACGAGCUCAAAUUUAUACUUAUCCUUGUACUUAUUUUAGUUAUCCCAUUAGCAAUUGAGGCCUACUAUUUCCCGGUACCGGUCUACGGUCUCAUCAGGUCCUUGUAUGCAAUACUAUAAAGUAGCUAUUGGUUGUAAUGGUAGCGGAAGCCAUUUGAUGGAAGUAUUCGGCCAAUCAAUAAAAAUAUGUAAAUUUCUAAAAUUAUGCUUUUGAUUUUAGGACAUCAUUUAAAUAAAUUAGAAUAUUUGUCCGGUUUUAACCGAAAGUUCCAGAACGGAAAACAUCAUUAAAUGCUAUUAAAUAAUUGUAA